GCGUUCGUAGCUCAGCUGGAUAGAGCAUUGGCUUGCGGAGCCAAGGGUCACAGGUUCGAAUCCUGUCGAGCGCACCA
RNAcentral lists this transfer RNA (77 nucleotides) under Candidatus Peregrinibacteria bacterium CG10_big_fil_rev_8_21_14_0_10_36_19. Its description in RNAcentral is "tRNA-Arg". It matches the Rfam family "tRNA". Rfam says of the family: Transfer RNA (tRNA) molecules are approximately 80 nucleotides in length. Their secondary structure includes four short double-helical elements and three loops (D, anti-codon, and T loops). Lineage: Bacteria; Candidatus Peregrinibacteriota. The record is from RNAcentral.